GUAGGUGCAAGGGCAAAGCAGAGAGUUAAUUGGAAAGAGCAGAGGCUGUUGCAGAACGCAACAGUGAGUGAUGCAGCCACUCAGCAGGAGAGAAAGUUGCCUCAGAGAGAACUAUGAAGUCUUUCUUCAGCAAACAGAAGUGAGUACUGCAGUAAUGGUUUAUUACUUGUCCAGAGUGCUACUUCAUCACUUGUACAGAUUUAAUUUGGAUGUCUUUCCUUUCCAUAGCAUAAUUAAAAGAAGGCUCUCUGUUCCAGUCCAAAAUCCAGGAUUUUUUUAAAGUUGGCUCCAUCUAUUUAUAAAACACUUUUACAUGUCCUUGUUCAUUUUAUUUUCACAAAAUCUUCCCCAUAAGUAAAAUGCAAAAUGACCAGUUUCCCUUUCUGCCUCUCAAAAAUGAAUGGAAAACAAAUUGUUUCGCUUUUCUAUUCUGCUGGAUUUUUGAGUGUGAAAAGAAGGGAAGGGAGAGCCAGAGCUGGGCUUCAUUUCGUGGGGACAUGGGCACAUCUCAUACAGAACUCCCUCAGUCAGAUCAGAGGCAACAAUACACAUUCUGCACUUUGUUCUGGAUUAUAAGGUCUACAGCCCCAUUCUCCCUUUGCAGGAGGGAGCACAGAGCCAGCACCUUUGAAGCGUAUCUCCAGCAAUCCUUUAUCUACUGCCACUUAUAGCUUUGACCACGGAUGUCUAUGGUUUUGGGUAGAACUACAAUUUCUAAAACAGUUAGUUGCAAACUAAAGAAGGCUCUGACCACUAUACAGUCUAUCUGACAUGGGUUUUAUAACAGAUGUGAAGACCAGGGCUGUACUGUGAGCUUGACAAAGAUGUGUGCUGAAGGUAGAAGAGCUACUGUGCUUGUAUCAAGAGAUGCUUUUGAGGAAAUUUCACUUGUCUGCCAGUUAAAUUGUUUUGUCAUAAUUAAGCUUAGAGGUAACAUUUGUGUCUAGGUCUGUGCCUGAGGAAGAAGAGCAGAGUCUGAUGGCUGGCUUUGAACACAAGAAACUGUUUUAUACCAGCUGGGCUGAGCAACGGUUGAUCACACUGGGAUGCCAAAGGCUUUCCUGGAACUUCAACUUCAUGAACUGCAAGAACUGAACACAGGUCAAGAAGACGAUGGAUUUUCUCUCUCUUUCCAAGAGGUGCAACUCUACUCAGUGGAGCAUGUCCUUUCCCAGGCCUCCAAGAUCAACUUAGUUAGCUGCAGGCUAGCUUUGAGACAUGGGAAAAGUCAAUAUCAAGCAACAGGGUUUCCACCUUUUGGCAAUCCAUGAAAGCAAUGUACAAUACAUGUACUCAUCUCCCUCACUAUUUCCAUGGCUGUUAGACUAUUUUUACUAUCUGGUUCCAAGAACAAAUAGACAUAAAUGUAGUUCUAGGAACUAUAGAGCACAACAACCAGGGGGAUCUGUACUCAUCACUAGCACAGCAGCUGAAAUAGCAGAGAAAGAUAGGGACACAGGAAGAAAUGGGAAUGUCCAAGUGAGAAAGAAAAAACAAAGUAUGAAGGGAAAAGCAAAAGAGGAACAAAGAGGCACACAUAGGAGAUGGAGAGAGCAGUGAUCACAACUGAGACAGCCCAUGUUUAUGGUCAAUAUUUAUACUUAUUCUGAGCACGUAUAAGCAAAAAUUUUAGAGCAGAACAGGAGGACAUCCUCUAACUUACAGCCAAAGACCAUCCUCACAUUCUGCUGCCUCAGUGCAGAGAGUGCAAGUUCAGGUACCAAGGGCUGUUGAGAAACAGUACACUCCAAGGCCUGGAUGGCUGGCUGCACCACAACAGCUGUACGCUGCACCUGUCAUCUUCUGGAGAGCAUGAGGUUCUAGGCAUUCAGAUACCCCUCUGAUAAGGAGGGUCUGUGCCUCGACUUUAAUGCUACUCAGGAAACAGCAAACACCUGCAUCUCUCUAAGCACUGGAGACUGGUAGAGGAGCUGCACUAUCUUCCUGUUCAGGUAAAUAUGCUGUAAUUUCAGAGUAUGCUUGGCAGAACCUUUCUAAUAACUUUAAAUAACUGUUGUUUUUUUUUUGUCACAAGAUAAGGAAGCCUGAGUUAAACAAGGGAUACUUCAUACAGUGCAACAAGCAAGAAUAUUUCUAGAGAAAGAAUGAAAGCCUCCAAAAAAAA
This is a non-coding RNA of Meleagris gallopavo (turkey), 2125 nucleotides long. Lineage: Eukaryota; Metazoa; Chordata; Aves; Galliformes; Phasianidae. The record is from RefSeq and is a predicted model, not a curated record.